Myodes glareolus (Bank vole) is the source of this 1502-nucleotide non-coding RNA. NCBI's taxonomy places the organism in Eukaryota, Metazoa, Chordata, Mammalia, Rodentia, Cricetidae. The record is from RefSeq and is a predicted model, not a curated record.
CGCAGACGCCCCGACGGACGCGGUCAGAGCGAUCGGCAGAGCUCGGUGUCCCGGCCGGCGGUUCCCAGCCACCUCCGCCUGUCGCCCGAGGUCGCCGCCGCGCCUGAGUGAGUGAGGAGAGCGUCCACCCGCGGCCCCGGAGCGGCGGUGAAGGCGUUCGAGCGCUCGGUUCCCCUUUGAACUCUGAAGCCGUCAGGUCAGUUCAGCCUCUUGGGGACCGGAGUUCGCGGUGACAGUCGCCCGAGGAGAUGAUGCCACGUGGUGAGCCGAAGUACACCGGCAGGAUUCCACGCCGAGACCGGGCUCCGUCUGCGCUCUGGUUUUUCACCUGGCCCGCGUGGCUGAUGAGUACGCGUGCCCCAGUACGCGCGUUAGUGAAACCUGCGUUGUCUGCUGGGGUUUUUCUUAUUCUUGAUUUCCGACUAGUAAACUGUCUUGUGACUGUCUUGCUUUGAAGGACUAGGGGCUUGGGGAAGGCGGUUUUCAAAAAAGAAACAUUAGCAACUGAGAAACAAAUUUCUGCCCGAGUAGGCAAAAUAAAUGAUAAGCAACAAAAUGCUGAGGGGGUGGUUAAGUAAGCUACAGAAAUGGAAACAAAAGAAGGAACAAAGCGAAGGAACACAGCAGGCAACCAAUUCUGCCUUCACACAGAAAGACAGGUCCCCACCAUUGGCUCUCUCAGCAUAACCAACGAGUUCUUUAUACUUUGAAACCCCACAAAAUGUAGCGAGGACACUAAAGAGGGUCUGAACAGUGUCCCUCCAAGGCCAGGAUUGGACUGUAUCACUUUAUUCAUAGGUUGUUUUUUGUUUGUUUGAUUUUGGUUGUUUGUUUUGGUUUUGGUUUUAUUUUGGUUACUUAUGGAUUAUUCCAAAGCACCAUGCUUACAGUGGAAGAGGCAAACAUUCUUUGAACAGUGAGACAGUCCUCCACCAUCUUCAAAUCCGUCUUACACUUUGGAUCAACACACAGAAAGCCCCGGGUGAGCAGAAGGAAGCUCUCAACAGAGAACUCAGCUUGGACCUCAGCAAAGAUGUUUUCCUUGAAAUAAAGCCCGUUCCUGUUACUGAAGACUUCUGUAUGGGCUAAGUCACGCCACUCGACCACACCUUUGCAGUUUCCGUCCUACGUCCUAAUCACAUCCCUGCGAAGGUAGGAAGUUCAUCCUAUUUAUCCAUCUAUGAGCUUUAGAUCUCAUCUUGUUAACGUGGGAAGGCUCAUAAAAAUAUAAGAUCUGGCUCAAAAAAAAAUCCCCAAAUACGAGAACCACAUUAAGGAGACAGAAAAGAAAAUGAUGUCCAGAUGAUUCCUUCUUGCAAACCUCUUAAGACAUGGAAUGGCUUCUGUCGUUUCCAAGGUAACGUGGGAAAAAUACACUGAGUCUUUAAAAAAUUUUCACUUUGACCACUCUCUUGCGCCCCUCUGUUGUCCCCAAGGAACAAUCUGGAUGCCAGCUGUCCUUUCAUUGCUUCAGUAGAGACACAUCCUACUUAAUGUCAUAA